This 783-nucleotide long non-coding RNA is filed under the name Homo sapiens (human). RNAcentral's name for it is "HSALNT0134216". The record is from RNAcentral. Lineage: Eukaryota; Metazoa; Chordata; Mammalia; Primates; Hominidae.
CUGUAAUAGAUUGCACGUUCUAAAAAUGGCCACAAUAUUUCUAGUUCCAUAUGCUCUUCCAGAAUAGUCUUGCCACUCUCCAUUGAGAGGUAGAGUCUAUUUCUUGAACAUGAGUGGGUUGUUGUUGCUUUGACCAGUAGAGUACAGCAGAGGCGAUGCUCUCUGAUUUCUGAAGCUAGGUUAUGAAAAGAAUGUGACUUUUGUCUGAUUCUCUCUUUCUAUCUCUAUCUCUUUAUCUCUCUUGCUGUCUCUCUCUUCACUUAUCCUUGGAAUCCAGUCACCAAGCUGUGAAGAAGCCAAGCAGUUCUCAUGGAAAAACCACAUAUAUGUAUUUCUGCCAAGAGGCCCAGCCAAGAUCCCAGCAACAGCCAGCAUCAACUACCAGACAUAAACCGGCCGGGUGGAGGAUGCAGCCGGGCGUGGUGGCUACAAGGAAGUGCCCUGGUGUUAAGAACUCAGCCUCUGAAACCCGCCGCCCAGCUUCGAGUCAGCGACGUACUUUUGUUGUCCCGGCCUUAGUAUCCCCGCUGCAAUAAGAGGUACUCAGCUCAAACCAUCUGGGUGAGGAUUAAAGGAGUUCAUAUCCAUAAAGGACUAGAACAGGUCCUGGCACCACGUAAACAUUCUUAUCAUCAAAUGUGAAAAAACAAAGUUCUCUAAGAUUUCGAAAGUGAACAGGUUAUUUUUCUACGGAGUAUUUGUGUCUGUUUCAACGUAAAAUUCAAGAUUUUUCUUUGUGAUUGAUGAAUGCGUGCUACUUUAGGAAUCUAGUGACUUUUGAAC